CGUACUACAAUGCCCAGUACAGAGGGGGCCGAAGCCGCGAGGCGGAGGAAAUCCUGAAAACUGGGCCCAGUUCGGACUGUAGGCUGCAACCCGCCUACACGAAGCCGGAAUCGCUAGUAAUGGCGCAUCAGCUACGGCGCCGUGAAUACGUUCCCGGGUCUUGUACACACCGCCCGUCACAUCAUGGAAGCCGGUCGCACCCGAAGUAUCUGAAGCCAACCGCAAGGAGGCAGGGUCCUAAGGUGAGACUGGUAACUGGGAUGAAGUCGUAACAAGGUAGCCGUAGGGGAACCUGCGGCUGGAUCACCUCCUUUCUAUGGAG
Molecule: ribosomal RNA, 322 nt
Filed under: Bacteroides ovatus
Lineage: Bacteria; Pseudomonadati; Bacteroidota; Bacteroidia; Bacteroidales; Bacteroidaceae
Description: bacterial SSU rRNA
Rfam family: Bacterial small subunit ribosomal RNA
Source: RNAcentral